ACAUGGGGUACACAGCGUGAUCGUGAAGAACGUCCGGAACAUCGAUUCCUCCGAGGGUGGGGAGAAAGACGGCCACAACCCCACGGACAAUGGUUUGCACAGUGGGUUUCUCACAGCCUCCUCCCUGGACAGCUACGGGAAAGAUGGUGCGAAGUUCCUGAAGGGAGACGUGCCUGCCUCCGAAGUGACUCUCAAAGACUUGGUGUUCAGCCAGUUCAGCUCCAUCUCCAGCGCCGAAGAGUUUGAUGACGAUGAGAAGAUCGAGGUGGACGAACCCCAGAUAAGGAGGACGUGCGCUCCAGCUUCAGAACCAACGUGUUGGCGUGUUCGGCUCCCCAGCAGGACUAUGAGAAGCUGACGGCACGUGGAGGGGAAGACUCUAGUAAAUCCGGACUCUCUAUCUCGGGCAAUGUGGAUCAAACCAAAGUCGUUAGAGAGAAACAGAAGCCAAUUCUAUAAACCUGAGUGUUUAUGGGUCUUUUAAAGUCAGGAACUAGCAGAGGAUAAAUUGAAGGAAAGCUCUGAAAAGUGCUUGAAAACAGAGUCCUGGAUGGGAAGCUGAGCUCGGAGAAGGACACCGGCCUCGCGGGCGUCGCGCCGUCCAAGACAAAGUUGUCCUCCAAGCUCUCGUCGUGCAUAGCUGCCAUUGCGGCGCUCAGCGCCACGAAGGCGGCUUCUGACUCCUGCAAAGAACCGGUGGUGGCCAGCUCGAGAGAAUCCUCCCCAUUACCCAAAGAAGCGAACGACAGUCCCAGAGCCGCGGACAAGUCCCCCGAAUCCCAGAGUCUCAUCGAUGGGACCAAGAAAGCAUCCCUGGAGCCACCAGACAGUCCCCGAAGCAUUUCAAGCGAGAACAGCAGCAAGGGGUCCCCAUCCUCUCCUGCAGGGUCCACACCAGCCAUCCCCAAGGUCCGCAUAAAAACCAUCAAGACGUCUUCUGGGGAGAUCAAGCGAACGGUGACCCGGGUGUUGCCAGAAGUGGAUCUCGACUCUGGGAAGAAGCCUUCCGAGCAGACGGCGUCCGGGAUGGCCUCUGUGACGUCGCUUCUGUCGUCGCCAGCCUCGGACACCGUCCUUUCCUCUUCCCCCGGGAGCCUCUCCAGUCAGCGGUCAUGACCAACGCGGUGUCUCCUGCAGAGCUGACCCCCAAACAGGUCACCAUCAAGCCUGUGGCUACCGCUUUCCUCCCCGUGUCUGCCGUGAAGACGGCAGGAUCCCAGGUCAUUAAUCUGAAGCUCGCUAACAACACCACGGUGAAAGCCACGGUCAUCUCUGCUGCCUCUGUCCAGAGCGCCAGCAGUGCCAUCAUUAAAGCCACCAACGCCAUCCAGCAGCAGACUGUCUGGUGCCGGCGUCCAGCCUGGCCAAUGCCAAACUCGUGCCAAAGACUGUGCACCUUGCCAACCUUAACCUUCUGCCUCAGGGUGCCCAGGCCACCUCUGAACUCUGCCAAGUGCUCACCAAACCUCAGCAGCAAAUCAAGCAGGCAGUAAUCACUGCAGCCGCCUUGCAGCCCCCCAAAAACGUGUCUGGAGUCCAGGUGGUUUCGUCCUUGCAGAGUUCUGUGGUGGAAGCUUUCAACAAGGUGCUGAGCAGUGUCAAUCCAGUUCCAGUUUACAUCCCAAACCUCAGUCCUCCCGCCAAUGCAGGGAUCACAUUACCGAUGCGUGGGUACAAGUGCUUGGAGUGCGGGGACUCCUUGCCGGAAAAGAGCCUGACCCAGCACUACGACAGACAUAGCAUGCGCAUCGAAGUAAUGUGCAACCAUUGCACAAAGAACCUCGUUUUUUACAACAAAUGCAGCCUCCUUUCCCAUGCCCAUGGGCAUAAGGAAAAAGGGGUGGUGAUGCAAUGCUCCUACUUAAUUUUAAAGCCAGUCCCAGCAGAUCAGAUGAUUGUCUCUCCCAAUAGUUCCACUUCUUCUUCCACUCUCCAGAGCCCCGUGGGAGCCGGCACACACGCUGUCACCAAAAUUCAGUCUGGCAUAACUGGGACAGUCAUAUCGGCUCCUUCCAGCACCCCCAUCACCCCAUACCAUGCCCCUGGAUGAAGACCCCUCCAAGCUCUGUAGACAUAGUCUAAAAUGUUUGGAGUGUAAUGAAUUCUUCCAGGACGAGACGUCGCUGGCCACACAUUUCCAGGAGGCUGCAGAUGCAAGCAGACAAAAGACUUGCACUAUCUGCUAGAUGCUGCUUCCUAACCAGUGCAGUUAUGCAUCACACCAGAGAAUCCAUCAGCACAAAUCUCCCUACACCUGCCCUGAGUGUGGGGUCAUUUGCUGGUCGGUGCACUUCCAGACCCACGUCACCAAGAACUGUCUGCACUACACACUGAGAGUUUGUUAUCAAUGUGUACAUUGCAACGUUGUGUACUCUGAUGUGGCUGCUCUGAAGUCUUACAUUCAAGGUUCUCACUGUGAAGUCUUCUAUAAGUGUCCUAUUUGUCCAAUGGCAUUUAAGUCUGCCCCCAGCACACAUUCCCAUGCCUACACACAGCAUCCUGGCAGCAAGAUAGGAGAACCAAAAAUAAUAUGUGUUCCAUGUGCGACACUGUGUUCACCCUGCAAACCUUGCUGUAUCACCACUUUGAUCAACACAUUGAAAACCAGAAGGUGUCUGUUUUCAAGUGUCCAGACUGUUCUCUCGUAUAUGCACAGAAGCAACUUAUGAUGGACCAUAUCAAGUCUAUGCAUGGAACAUUGAAAAGUAUUGAAGGACCUCCAAACUUGGGUAUCAAUUUGCCUUUGAGCAUUAAGCCUGCAACUCGGAAUUCAGCAAAUCAGAACAAAGAGGACACCAAAUCUAUGAAUGGGAAGGAGAAGUUGGAAAAGAAGUCUCCAUCUCCUGUGAAGAAAUCAAUGGAACCCAAGAAGGUGGCCAGUCCUGAGUGGACGUGUUGGGAACGUGACCGCCUGUUCACGCAAAGAGAUGUGUACAUAUCCCACAUGAGGAAGGAGCACGGGAAGCAAAUGAAGAAGCACCCCUGCCACCAGUGUGACAAGUCUUUCAGCUCAUCCCACAGCCUCUGCCGGCACAACCGGAUCAAGCACAAAGGCAUCAGGAAAGUGCACUGCCCGAACUCCAGGUGGCCCUUCACGAAGCUGCUGAUGUUGGAGAAGCACAUCCAGCUGAUGCACAGCAUCAAGGACCCCGAUGUGAAGGAACUGACAGACACCACCCAUGAGGAGGAGGUGGAGAUCAAGGACGACGUCAAGGUUCCUGGCCCCAAGAGGAAGCUUGAAGAACCCUCCCAGAGUUCAGGCCCCCUGAGGGGCGAUCACUCAGCUGCUGAAGAAGCUGAAGAUCAACGUUUUCAAGGUCCACAAGUGCGCCGUGUGUGGCUUUACCACCGAGCACUUACUGCAUUUCCACAAACACAUCCCUCAGUACAAGUCCGACGGCUCCUCCUACCAGUGCCGGGAGUGCAGCCUCUGCUACACAUCCCACGUCUCCCUGUCCAGGCACCUCUUCAUCGUGCACAAGCUGAAGGAGCCACUGCCCGUGUCCAAGCAGAACGGGGCCAGGGAAGAUGGCCAGCAGGAGAACAAGCCCAGCCACGAGGACGAGCCCCCUGACGGCGCCUUGUCAGACAGAAAGUGCAAAGUGUGCACAAAAACUUUUGAAACUGAAGCUGCCUUAAAUACUCACAUGCGGACACACAGCAUGGCCUUCAUUAAAUCCAAAAGAAUGAGUUCAGCUGAGAAAUAGCCACAGAUAUGCCAUCAGGAAAAUCUCUGUCCACAUUGGAAAUAAAAGACACCUUUUUGUUACAGAGAGUUUGCAGUAUAAUAGAGUUACCAGGACUGUCUAGGCUGUUGCAAUAUAUCCUCUUUUCACGUCCCUUCUUCACCUCGUCCUGUAUAUCCUCGAUAAGUAUGAAAACAGUAUUUGAGUUUAAAAGCGUUUGUAUAUAUUUAAAGAAUAACUUUUUAUACUCUUUGUUACAUGUUUGUAUCAGUAUUUAGUGGAAAACGUUUUGAGUUUUUUGGGGGUUCGAAUUUUUCUUUUUGUAUUGUUUCUUUAAAACAGAGUUCUUAGUAACAGGGGCAGUUCCAGAAUUCAAAUAAACCAUUUUGUAUGUU
Molecule: RNA transcript, 4081 nt
Organism: Carlito syrichta (Philippine tarsier)
Lineage: Eukaryota; Metazoa; Chordata; Mammalia; Primates; Tarsiidae
Gene name: zinc finger protein 532 pseudogene
Exons: 2
Source: RefSeq, a predicted model, not a curated record